RNAcentral lists this transfer RNA (66 nucleotides) under Paraechinus hypomelas (Brandt's hedgehog). Its description in RNAcentral is "tRNA-Pro". The record is from RNAcentral. Lineage: Eukaryota; Metazoa; Chordata; Mammalia; Eulipotyphla; Erinaceidae.
CAGGGAAUAGUUUAAGAAGAAUAUCAAUUUUGGGUAUUGAUGGUAGGACUGAAGUCUUUUCCUUGA